Molecule: long non-coding RNA, 506 nt
Organism: Wyeomyia smithii (pitcher-plant mosquito)
Lineage: Eukaryota; Metazoa; Arthropoda; Insecta; Diptera; Culicidae
Exons: 3
Source: RefSeq, a predicted model, not a curated record
UUUUUGGAAGUUUUUUUGCAGUGUCGCGCGCCGCUUUGCGCUUGGGGUGAAGCAUUCAUUGGGCUCUUGCUUGCGGUGUCUGAUCAACAAAAUCAGCUAUCAGCUAUUUGCUUGAGGUAAGGGGUGAGUUACCGCUCUUUAAAAAAGAACGAUAGAUCACUCACUCACUUUGGAGAACCAGCUCUUUAGAUCAGUUCGUGAGCGGAUUGCCCACCUCUACCGGAAAGUCCCAGCCCAACACUACUGACUAACGAUUGAAAAUUUUUCAAAAAUUGUCGGUUUUGAUGCGGAAGAUGACCUGGAUUCAUUCAAACCUACAAUUCCAAUUGACAAACGUCAAAACCACAAAGCGAAACAAAAAAAGGGACGAUGACGAACGGCGCAAGCAGCACAUUCACCCAGAGAUCAAACAUUUAUUUAAGCAUCCUGAAAUGAGUUUGCAUCGAUGAAGUGACAGGGAUCAUCUCUAGGAUUGAAUUGAGGUUAUUGAAUUAAAAAUCUAGAAC